Long non-coding RNA from Oncorhynchus kisutch (coho salmon), 1424 nucleotides. RefSeq lists it as uncharacterized. Lineage: Eukaryota; Metazoa; Chordata; Actinopteri; Salmoniformes; Salmonidae. The transcript has 3 exons. The record is from RefSeq and is a predicted model, not a curated record.
UACAGGAAGGAGGCCUCAUCUGCAGGUGUCACUUCACCUGAAGCACAGGUGGACAGACAGAGCUGCACAGCGUAGGACAGACCUCUAUGUAUUACAAGUCACCAUGAUUCAUCAAUGAAGUUACCAAUCGUGGCAGCUGUUGAGAUUGUGCAGUGACUCUCGCCUGAUAACAGACACAUGUCCUGCAGCUUAUCAGCCAUCACGACUCGUCCCAUAAACAUUGAUUCAGAAAUCAAAUAACGGAGAACAAACAACAGGACUGAUGCUGCUGGUAGUGAUUAUAUGACUAAACACUGAGCUAGAAAGCUGUGUAUUUGACUCUGAUGUGUGAGCCUGUCAUAGCUGAGCUGUCCCUAAGCAACCUUUACCAAUGGAGUUGAUGAGCUACAUGAUGAGGUGAGAGGUGUGUCACUACUGAUUGCCUGAGCUGCAGACUAUGUGUGUAUGUGUGUCUGGCCAUAGUGUUCCCCUGUAUCUACCUGGCACUGGUGCCUCAACCCGCGGCAGGCCUGCCCUGAGGUCAUGUACCAGUCAUUUAGCACCUCCUCAGGUGACCAGCUGGCUGCUGGCCCGCUCAUCAUACAGCUAUGGGGCUAGAGAGACUAGCUGGCUGCUGGCCCUCUCCUUAUCAUACAGCUAUGGGUCUGGAGAGACCUGCUGGCUGCUGGCCCUCUCCUUAUCAUACAGCUAUGGACCUGGAGAGACCUGCGGGCUGCUGGCCCUCUCCUUAUCAUACAGCUAUGGGCCUGGAGAGACCUGCUGGCCCUCUCCUUAUCAUACAGCUAUGGGCCUGGAGAGACCUGCUGGCCCUCUCCUUAUCAUACAGCUAUGGGUCUGGAGAGACCUGCUGGCCCUCUCCUUAUCAUACAGCUAUGGGUCUGGAGAGACCUGCUGGCUGCUGGCCCUCUCCUUAUCAUACAGCUAUGGGUCUGGAGAGACCUGCUGGCCCUCUCCUUAUCAUACAGCUAUGGGUCUGGAGAGACCUGCUGGCCCUCUCCUUAUCAUACAGCUAUGGGUCUGGAGAGACCUGCUGGCCCUCUCCUUAUCAUACAGCUAUGGGUCUGGAGAGACCUGCUGGCCCUCUCCUUAUCAUACAGCUAUUGGGGCUGGAGAACCACAGCUGUCAAAGGUCCAGUCUGUCUGUUCCUAUGCUAGCAUGAGAGAGUGAGACAAAAAGAGAGCGAAUGAGAGAGAUGGAGAUCAGCCCUGUUUAUACCUGAAUGCAUGUUAACGGCAGUUAUAAACAGGGCUAGAGAGUCUUCUUCAAAACUCUUCUUUUUCACCCUGUAGCAACACCAGGUGGUCAUGAAGGCAGAGAUGGACAGGCCUAGUGGAUUACAAUGUCCAGACACACACAACAGACACAACGUAUAGAGGCAGCAAUUCCAUAAAAAUAAAAUAAGUGUCUUGGAAAGAGUGUAAAA